Molecule: unclassified non-coding RNA, 379 nt
Filed under: uncultured Pseudomonadota bacterium
Lineage: Bacteria; Pseudomonadati; Pseudomonadota
Description: uncultured proteobacterium contains 16S-23S intergenic spacer region
Source: RNAcentral
UCCGAGUUGACCCCGGCAGUCUCCCAUGAGUCCCCGGCAUUACCCGCUGGCAACAUGGAACGAGGGUUGCGCUCGUUGCGGGACUUAACCCAACAUCUCACGACACGAGCUGACGACAGCCAUGCAGCACCUGUCUCGGCGUCCCUUGCGGGAACUCCCACUUUCAUGGGAUAGCACCGGAUGUCAAGCCCAGGUAAGGUUUUUCGCGUUGCGUCGAAUUGAACCACAUACUCCACUGCUUGUGCGGGCCCCCGUCAAUUUCUUUGAGUUUUAAUCUUGCGACCGUACUCCUCAGGCGGGAUACUUAAUGCGUUAGCUGCGACACCGAAAGGGUAAGACCUCCCGACGUCUAGUAUCCAUAGUUUACGGCGUGGACUAC